Molecule: ribosomal RNA, 594 nt
Filed under: uncultured bacterium
Lineage: Bacteria
Description: bacterial SSU rRNA
Rfam family: Bacterial small subunit ribosomal RNA
Source: RNAcentral
ACGGGUGAGUAACACGUGGGCAACCUGCCUGUAAGAUGGGGAUAACGUUCGGAAACGGACGCUAAGACCCAAUAAGUGAUUGGAUCGCAUGAUCGGAUCAAGAAAAAGGGUUUCGGCUCUUGCUUACAGAUGGGCCUGCGGCGCAUUAGCUAGUUGGUGAGGUAAGAGCUCACCAAGGCGACGAUGCGUAGCCGACCUGAGAGGGUGAACGGCCACACUGGGACUGAGACACGGCCCAGACUCCUACGGGAGGCAGCAGUAGGGAAUCUUCCGCAAUGGACGAAAGUCUGACGGAGCAACGCCGCGUGAGUGAUGAAGGUUUUCGGAUCGUAAAGCUCUGUUGCCAAGGAAGAACACUUAGAAGAGUAAUUGCUUUUAAGAUGACGGUACUUGAGAAGAAAGCCCCGGCUAACUACGUGCCAGCAGCCGCGGUAAUACGUAGGGGGCAAGCGUUGUCCGGAAUUAUUGGGCGUAAAGCGCGCGCAGGCGGUUAUUUAAGUCUGGUGUAUAAGGCAUUGGCUCAACCAAUGUUCGCACUGGAAACUGGAAGACUAGAGUGUAGGAGAGGAAAGUGGAAUUCCACGUGUAGCGGUG